UUUAUUUUAUAUCGUGGUGAUAUAUGCUAAAACUGUUGCUUUUGGUCCUGCAUUAAAACUUGAAUAUGUAGGGAAUUUUUCAAGGAUUCAUCCCUGGAGAUACAGUAUUUGUUUUUCUCUGUUUGACUUAUUUUGCUUAGCAUAAUACCCUCUAGGUACAUCCAUACUGUAGUAAAUAUCAGGAUCUCGUCCUUUUUGAUGGCUGAGUAAUAUAACAUUGUGUGUAUGUACAACUUCGUCUUCUGUUACUGGACACUUGGGCUCCUUCCAUAUCUCGGCUAUGGAAAAAAAAAUGCUGCUGUAGGCUUAGGGGUGCCUCUGUGCUUUCAGAAUGUUGAGUCUGAUGUGUCAACUGCCACAACAGUCGUGGCAACUCAGGAAGGGAGCCAGGUCCAGGAGAAAGCAACACAUGUUUAUUGAAGAAUAGUGGGAAACCCCAGAGAAACUGAAGGAAGAAAAUAAGCACUCAGCUGAAGACAACCAUUCAAGAGUUCUGGCACCUUUUCCUCCCAACUUUCACUGAAGUUGAACAGAUAAAUGUAUAUAUAUAUGAAGUGAUUUCCGGGAAAGACCAAAAAAAAAAAAAAA
This is a long non-coding RNA of Mustela erminea (ermine), 588 nucleotides long. RefSeq lists it as uncharacterized. The transcript has 2 exons. The record is from RefSeq and is a predicted model, not a curated record. NCBI's taxonomy places the organism in Eukaryota, Metazoa, Chordata, Mammalia, Carnivora, Mustelidae.